RNAcentral lists this ribosomal RNA (614 nucleotides) under uncultured bacterium. Its description in RNAcentral is "bacterial SSU rRNA". The stretch from base 1 to 520 matches the Rfam family "Bacterial small subunit ribosomal RNA", at positions 338 to 873 of the family's 1533-position model. The record is from RNAcentral.
CCUACGGGAGGCAGCAGUGGGGAAUCUUGCGCAAUGGGCGAAAGCCUGACGCAGCAACGCCGCGUGCGGGAUGACGGCCUUCGGGUUGUAAACCGCUUUCAGUGGGGACGAACCAAGACGGUACCCACAGAAGAAGCCCCGGCCAACUACGUGCCAGCAGCCGCGGUAACACGUAGGGGGCGAGCGUUGUCCGGAUUUAUUGGGCGUAAAGAGCUCGUAGGCGGUUCGAUAAGUCGGGUGUGAAACCUCCAGGCUCAACCUGGAGACGCCACCCGAUACUGUCGUGACUAGAGUCCAGUAGGGGAGCGUGGAAUUCCUGGUGUAGCGGUGAAAUGCGCAGAUAUCAGGAGGAACACCAGUGGCGAAGGCGGCGCUCUGGGCUGGAACUGACGCUGAGGAGCGAAAGCGUGGGGAGCGAACAGGAUUAGAUACCCUGGUAGUCCACGCCGUAAACGUUGGGUACUAGGUGUGGGGUCUUAUCAACGGAUUCCGUGCCGCAGCUACGACAUAAGUACCCGUCCCGUCGGGAGGUACGGCCGGCCGACGGACGUAAACUUAAACUUAGAAUUAGUACGGCGUGAGACGUGCCGACGGACGACGACGAGGGAGGUAGG